Molecule: unclassified non-coding RNA, 395 nt
Filed under: uncultured Capronia
Lineage: Eukaryota; Fungi; Ascomycota; Eurotiomycetes; Chaetothyriales; Herpotrichiellaceae
Description: sequence contains ITS2
Rfam family: 5.8S ribosomal RNA (bases 1-155)
Source: RNAcentral
AACUUUUGACAACGGAUCACUUGGUUCUGGCAUCGAUGAAGAACGCAGCGAAAUGCGAUAAGUAAUGCGAAUUGCAGAAUGCCAGUGAGUCAUCGAAUCUUUGAACGCACAUUGCGCCCUUUGGUAUUCCGAAGGGCAUGCCUGUUCGAGCGUCAAUAUCACCCCUCAAGCCCCCUGGGUUUGGUGUUGGACGGCCUGGUCAGGCGACUGACCCCUCCUAAAGACAAUGACGGCGGCCUCGUGGGACCCCCGGUACACUGAGCUUCUUAACUGAGCACGUAUCGGAUCCAGGGUCCUCGGGGACACGGUCUGAUAACCUAUUAUAUUUUCUCAAGGUUGACCUCGGAUCAGGUAGGGAUACCCGCUGAACUUAAGCAUAUCAAUAAGCGGAGGCU